Molecule: ribosomal RNA, 440 nt
Filed under: uncultured bacterium
Lineage: Bacteria
Description: partial 16S ribosomal RNA
Rfam family: Bacterial small subunit ribosomal RNA
Source: RNAcentral
CCUACGGGAGGCAGCAGUGGGGGAUAUUGCACAAUGGGGGAAACCCUGAUGCAGCGACGCCGCGUGUGGGAAGACGGUCUUCUGGAUUGUAAACCACUGUCCCCAGGGACGAAAAUGACGGUACUAGGGGAGGAAGCUCCGGCUAACUACGUGCCAGCAGCCGCGGUAAUACGUAGGGAGCAAGCGUUGUCCGGAUUUACUGGGUGUAAAGGGAGCGUAGGCGGGGAUGCAAGUUGGGUGUCAAAACUACCGGCUCAACCGAUAGUCGCACUCAAAACUGCAACUCUUGAGUGAAGUAGAGGCAGGCGGAAUUCCUGGUGUAGCGGUGAAAUGCGUAGAUAUUAGGAGGAACACCAGUGGCGAAGGCGGCCUGCUGGGCUUUUACUGACGCUGAGGCUCGAAAGUGUGGGGAGCAAACAGGAUUAGAUACCCUUGUAGUC